CAAACGGCCCUUCUCAGGGCCACAACUAUACUUCUAGAAAGAGUUAU
Molecule: non-coding RNA, 47 nt
Organism: Aedes albopictus (Asian tiger mosquito)
Lineage: Eukaryota; Metazoa; Arthropoda; Insecta; Diptera; Culicidae
Source: Rfam